Molecule: RNA transcript, 2251 nt
Organism: Abrus precatorius (Indian licorice)
Lineage: Eukaryota; Viridiplantae; Streptophyta; Magnoliopsida; Fabales; Fabaceae
Gene name: pentatricopeptide repeat-containing protein At2g27800, mitochondrial-like
Exons: 4
Source: RefSeq, a predicted model, not a curated record
AAAUCAUUUUACAGUGAAAAUGAGUCUUCAGGCAAUGGGUACAGACGAGAGGGAUAGCGAGUGAAACAGCCAUUGAAACGUUCACUCUUCACUACAUUCACACCCUCUCUCGUCUCUUCCUACUGCAAAAAGAAUUGAUUUGAUUUGGAUGAUUAAUUCGAACAGAAUCUGAGGUUGCCAGUAGCCACACUUAGGUUACAGCAAAAACAAAAUAAUAAUGUUCUCUUUUGCUAGAAUUUGCUUCAAGUAUCGUGGUGCAUACUUCAGGAGAAAUGGCUCAAAUGAAAAUCCAUGUUCCACAAACUCAUUUUUGCAGAUAUUUACCAACCUAUCUGCAUUCAAUGAUGAUCCUUGUGGGAAAAGUUUGCACAGGGGGCGGUUCUUUCAUCAUUCUCAGAAACUUGACCCCCUUUUGUUUCUAGUCACUGCUAGUUAUACUCAAUUUCCUGUCCUAGCACCUUUUUGCUUUAAUUCCCAUUAUUCAACUAAGGCUCCCUCGAGGUCUUACAGAAGAAGAGCUCGAAAAAGGUUGUUAAAAUCCUGCAAGCCUACACUAAACCAAGCACAAUUUCAGUUGGCCCUGUCCCAACUUCCUCCAAGGUUCACUGCUGAAGAACUCUGCGAUGUGAUUGCUCAGCAACAUGACCCGUUAGUUUGCUUAGAACUGUUUCACUGGGCAUCUCAGCAGCCCAGGUUUCGGCAUGAUGCAUCAACAUUUCAUGUGACCAUUAAGAAGCUUGGUGUUGCAAAAAUGUACCAAGAAAUGGAUGACGUUGUGAACCAAUUGCUUGCAGUUCCUUUUAUUGGUUCGGAGGAGUUGUUUAACAUGGUUAUAUAUUAUUUCACUGAGGCCCGGAAGUUGACUAGAGCUGUCAAUGUAUUUAAGCACAUGAAAAGUAGGAGAAAUUUGAAUUGCUGUUUUAGGCCUUCUGUUAGAACCUAUAAUAUUCUUUUUGCUGCACUUUUGAGUAGAGGAAGCAACACCUAUAUAAAUCAUGUGUAUAUGGAAACAAUUAGAUGUCUGUUCAGGCAAAUGGUCAAUGAUGGGAUCAAACCUGAUAUUUUUUCAUUAAAUUCUAUGGUAAAAGGUUAUGUGCUAUCUCUUCAUGUUAAUGAUGCAUUGAGAAUAUUUCAUCAGAUGGGUGUGGUUUAUGAUUGCCAGCCCAACUCUUUAACGUAUGAUUACUUGAUUCACGGGUUGUGUGCCCAAGGCAGAACAAAGAAUGCCAAAGAAUUAUGUCAAGAAAUGAAGACCAGGGGUUUCAUUCCAAGUAGUAAAUCUUACAAUUCGCUUAUCAAUUCUUUGGCACUUGACAGAGAGAUUGAGGAGGCAGUAAAUUAUCUGUGGGAGAUGACUGAUAAAAAGAGGUCAGCUGAUUUUAUUACAUAUAGGACUGUACUGGAUGAGAUAUGUAGACGAGGAACAAUUCAGGAGGGCAUGAGGUUUUUACAGGAGUUGCAAGAAAAGGACCUCGUAGAUGGGCAUGCUUAUAGGAAGCUUCUUUAUGUGCUUGAAGAUGAUUAUGGGAAUUCACUGAGCAGGACUAUGGGAAUUCACUGAGCAGGACUAUGGGAAUUCAAUGAGCAGAAUUGCUUCAUGUGCUGCAAAUUUUCCAUUCAUUUAUCACUAUAGUGGGCUCUUUCUUUAAUUUGAGAGCCAAGAGUCAUUUAAAAUUUUACAUGCAAUGUGCAAAGUUUCAUAAUGUCUUUUUGAUAUUGCAUGUAUAGCAUGUGCACAUCCUAGCCAUGGAAAACCAAAGUUCUAUUCAACUCCUGAGAAUUGGUUUCUGCAGAAAAUGGUGCCUUCCAACAAAUCAUGUGUGGUUGUUUUCAACAAGAAAAUCAGCCACUUCUUUCUUUGCUGCCUAUGAUGCCUUAUGUGAGGAGGGUACUGCAACGUCUGUAUGCAAGGCUCUUGAUGAAAUUGCAAUUGUAGACAUUUCUGUGUCAGAAACGGUAUUUGAUUGAAAGCCAGUUGAAAUGAUAUUAAGUUGGCUCAAUGGAGAACAAAUGAAAGCCCUUAAAGAGGAAGAAGGGGAAUUUUCUCACGGUGAAGAACUCUGCAAUGUGAUUGCUCGGCAACAUGACCCGUUAGUUUGCUUAGAAUUGUCUCACUGGGCGUCUCAGCAGCCCAGGUUGCGGCAUAAUGCGUUCACGUUUCAUAUGACCAUUUAGAAGCUUGGUGUUGCAAAAAUGUACCAAGAAAUGGAUGAUCUUUGUUGAUAUUUCAUGCUCUUUCAUGUUUUUUCUU